This 520-nucleotide ribosomal RNA is filed under the name uncultured Acaulospora. RNAcentral describes it as "SSU rRNA". It matches the Rfam family "Eukaryotic small subunit ribosomal RNA", at positions 569 to 1086 of the family's 1831-position model. The record is from RNAcentral. Lineage: Eukaryota; Fungi; Glomeromycota; Glomeromycetes; Diversisporales; Acaulosporaceae.
AGCAGCCGCGGUAAUUCCAGCUCCAAUAGCGUAUAUUAAAGUUGUUGCAGUUAAAAAGCUCGUAGUUGAAUUUCGGGGUUCAUCCGUUGGUCGGGCUUUUUUGGGUCUGUACUGGCGUGAUGGAUUCCUACCUUCUGAAUAACCAGCAUGUCAUUAAUUUGGUGCGUUGGGGAAGCAGGACUGUUACCUUGAAAAAAUUAGAGUGCUUAAAGCAGGCUAUCGCCUGAAUACAUUAGCAUGGAAUAAUGAAAUAGGACGGCAUGGUUCUAUUUUGUUGGUUUCUAGGAUCACUGUAAUGAUUAAUAGGGAUAGUUGGGGGCAUUAGUAUUCAAUUGUCAGAGGUGAAAUUCUUGGAUUUAUUGAAGACUAACUUCUGCGAAAGCAUUUGCCAAGGAUGUUUUCAUUAAUCAAGAACGAAAGUUAGGGGAUCGAAGACGAUCAGAUACCGUCGUAGUCUUAACCAUAAACUAUGCCGACUAGGGAUCGGAUGAUGUUAAUUUUUUAAUGACUCAUUCGGCGC